Molecule: ribosomal RNA, 253 nt
Filed under: uncultured bacterium
Lineage: Bacteria
Description: partial 16S ribosomal RNA
Rfam family: Bacterial small subunit ribosomal RNA
Source: RNAcentral
GACGUAGGGUGCAAGCGUUGUCCGGAAUUAUUGGGCGUAAAGAGCUCGUAGGCGGUCUGUCGCGUCUGCUGUGAAAACUCGGGGCUUAACCCCGGGCCUGCAGUGGGUACGGGCAGGCUAGAGUGCGGUAGGGGAGACUGGAAUUCCUGGUGUAGCGGUGAAAUGCGCAGAUAUCAGGAGGAACACCGGUGGCGAAGGCGGGUCUCUGGGCCGUAACUGACGCUGAGGAGCGAAAGCAUGGGGAGCGAACAGG